GCCUCGUUGGUCUAUCUAGUGGCUUGAUAUAAGGCCGCAGACCCGGAGGUCCUGGGUUCAAUUCCCAGGUUGGGCCAAUAAAAAAUUAUUGGGUUUUUCUGUCAGAAAUUCUCAGUAGCAGCCCGGAAUAUGGAAGUUGGAAG
Nymphalis io (European peacock) is the source of this 143-nucleotide long non-coding RNA. RefSeq lists it as uncharacterized. The transcript has 3 exons. NCBI's taxonomy places the organism in Eukaryota, Metazoa, Arthropoda, Insecta, Lepidoptera, Nymphalidae. The record is from RefSeq and is a predicted model, not a curated record.